GACGAACGCUGGCGGCGUGCCUAAUACAUGCAAGUCGAACGAAGCUGUUUUAACUGGUGCUUGCACCGACUUAAACAACUGAGUGGCGAACGGGUGAGUAACACGUGGGUAACCUGCCCCAAAGCGGGGGAUAACAUUUGGAAACAGAUGCUAAUACCGCAUAACCACAGAAACCACAUGGUUUCUGUGUCAGAGAUGGUUUCGGCUAUCACUUUGGGAUGGACCCGCGGCGUAUUAGCUAGUUGGUAAGGUAAUGGCCUACCAAGGCAAUGAUACGUAGCCGAACUGAGAGGUUGAUCGGCCCCAUUGGGACCGAGACACGGACCAAACUCCUACGGGAGGCAGCAGUAGGGAAUCUUCCACAAUGGACGAAAGUCUGAUGGAGCAACGCCGCGUGAGUGAAGAAGGUUUUCGGAUCGUAAAACUCUGUUGUCAGAGAAGAACGUGUGCGAGAGUAACUGUUCGUGCAGUGACGGUAUCUGGCCAGAAAGCCACGGCUAACUACGUGCCAGCCGCCGCAGUAA
Molecule: ribosomal RNA, 524 nt
Filed under: uncultured bacterium
Lineage: Bacteria
Description: partial 16S ribosomal RNA
Rfam family: Bacterial small subunit ribosomal RNA
Source: RNAcentral